CGGGCUUACAGCUUAAUAAUUUUUGAUGGUGAUAAUAAUGAUUUACAUUAUUAUCUGUAAACGCCCGCUGAAGGAUGGUGUUUUGAUUUGAAUUAGCCGGGCUGAAGAAGCUGCGUCACAGCGCAGCGCUCUCUACCGGGUCUUUGUUGAACAAUUUUCAGAUUAGUUCUCAGGAGCCUACGCAAGAGCGCUCUACUGCCCACAGAAACUCAAAGAGUGCGCCUAACGGGCGAAAUCCGAACGAAAAAUAUCACAGAUUAGUCCAUCCAUCGCCUAACAUCCAAUCUAGUCAUGUAGUAAUAUAAUCUUUGGCUUAUUUAUUGCUGUUGAUGUUGACAUCAACCAGAGACCCUCUGCAGAAAGUGUCGUGUCUCCCCGAUUCCCCCAAAAAAAUCCCUCUUCCUCACGCUUAAAAGUGAAGUGUUGCACAGCAUGAAUGGUUAGUACUAGGUAUUCAAGAAGUAUUUUCUCUCAUAAUAUCAGUAUUUUGAAAGUCACAUCAAGUUUUCCAAACAGGAAUGUCUCCUGUACUGACUGCUUUGAUGUUCUUUUCAUGUAGACUUCAUCCAAUGUAGAUUACUCAUCCAACGCAUCAUCGGUUAUACCGCAGUGACUUUACAGUGAUCCUGUUACAUUUUGGACAAGUCAGAAGCAAAAUGAAGCUGAAAGAAAUUCAAUACCAUGCUUUAACGAGUCAGAUAAGCAGCAAGCACUGUUGUUCAUGGUCCGAAGACAAUAGUCUAGCCUUUUUAACAAAGAAUGGAAUCCUAAUAGUUGAUUUUCAAUUGAAUUCGUUGAAGCUAACAUCACCAAUUUCAACCAAGCAGAGCCUCAUAGCACCACCCUCAUCACUGCCUACAAAUCAGUUUCAUGAACAAAUUUCGACAUUAAUCCCUAGGAAAGUUACAAGAGAUGAAUUUCAUCAGAUGAUUCUGGACAAGAAUUUAUAUCCUUGUUUUAAUAAAGCGGAAGCCAAUAUUCCAGUCUGCAAGCAGUUCUCAUGGUCUCCCCAAGGACUCAACUAUCGUAAUAGGUGCCUCAUGGUUGUCUUAACCGAUACAGGCUCUUGCAGUAUCUACGUCAGAGGCAAAUUAAAGAUGGUCUUACACAAGAGUAUCUCUAAUGAGUGGGUCAAAAUAUGUGCCAAGCGGUGGGGCAGUGAUACACUAUCUAAUUUUAAUGAUCUUCAAGAGAGAGUCCACAAAAUUAGUAUAAAAGAAAUUGUAUGGAGUCAUGCUGCGGGUGACUGGACCAAAAAAACAGCACUUCUUGUUUGCGCACACGAAAAUAUGGAAAUUAGCCUCUGGAGGGUGGAAACCAUGGCUUACAACAUGAAGGCAGAAGAAAAUAUGUUUCUAGAUCUCCUCAAACCAGAUCUUUCAUCAGAUGUUAAACAUAUGCAGUGGACACGGAUUAGUUGUACACAAAGCAUCCUGUUCAUUUGUUGUUAUGAUGGAACCGUCCAUGGCUUAAAUUUGAAACACGAUGAAAUGCUGCUUUCCUGCAACUUAUCAUCAACGAUCAUUGUGUGGGACAAUGCUGAUCUAAUUCUAGUCUCAAAAAUCAUUACUCUGUCAAGGAGUUUGGAUGGAAAUGAAAUUUUGAUCGCAAUGUUGAAAGGUUUCCAUAUAGUUGUUUCAUCCGUCAAAAUAGAGAGUUCUACUCCUGCUCAGCCAGCAUUGCUCCAUAAAUUCUCCACGCAAAUCACAGGAUUAGACAAAAUUAACGAUGAACAUUUAAUUUGCGGAUUAUGGAAUGGUGCUGUUUAUUUAAUUUCUGUGAAAACCGGUUUAUUAACUGUAGAUGCCAUCGAAAAAGAUAUCUCUUAUGCAAAUUAUUGCUGCCAAGGCCUUGCACUUUCAAGGAAUGGAGCGUUUGCAGUUUUAUGCAACAGCGUUUCUAAGUUUUUUGACCACUCCAACCUGCGGCAAACAGCACAUUUUUACCUAAUGGCAUUACCCAAAGAAAUUAUUGACCCAGCGUUACUAAUCGAAUCCUCUUUGAAGUCAAAAUCAUCAACUGUGAAUUCAAUUGCUGAUUGUUUAGCAUCGUACAGGUUCAGUAUUGUUUCUAAAGAACAAUCAAUACCACAAUACUUGGAAAAGCUGGAUGAUUUAUGUGCUUUGCCGGAUAAUGUGCUCCAAAUUUACCUUCGAUUAUUUCACUUUUUAGCUCCUUGUGAUCCUCUUGAAAGUGAAAAAUGGAGAAAACUGUCGAAUCUCAUCACAACUGUCCUUUAUGCUCGAUUUUUCACUCGCAAGAAAGUUUCCAAUCCUGUGGUGAUUCAAUGGCUGUACAAGACAGUCAAAGCUUUGGAUAGCAGUUUCAAGGAGUUAAUAGCAGCCUGUGAACAGUUGAUCUCCUCAGCUGGUAGUCAGAAAGCUGUAUGUGUGUUCUGUGAUGGAGAUGUUAGCGAUGUAAGCUUUGAUCACUUUAGUUGCAGUUCUGGCCAUAAAGUUCCUAUUUGCGCCUUUAGUUUCCAGCCUUGUUUAGUCAUUCCGUAUUGUGUCUGUGAUGGUUGUGGUGCAAUAGCUCUCCAAGAAUCAGUAUCAUCUAUGGUGGAGCACUGUGUGAUUUGUGGAGGCGACUUUCAGAUAGAUCUCACUGUUUCAGAAACUCAUAUCUAUGAUGGAGAGGCAGAUGAUGCGGAUCAACCGCGUGAAGAGACUGAAGUUGUCCAUGCUGGCACCAAGUUUCAUGCGCAGGCGGAAGAAGAAGAUCUUGACGACCCCUUGGCCGAUCCGCUAUUGUAAGAAGCAUCUUGCUCUGAUACUCCUAGGUCUCAUUUUUUCUAGAGUAUAAAUUGGAAGUAUUUCUGUCAAACGGAACUAUGUGCAUUAAGACAAGAGCCCCGCGACCAUAGGCGUAGCUAGGGGGUCCUGGGGAGGGCCUGGCCCCCCCCAGAAAUCUCGUGCCCCCCCCCCCAGAAAAACGGGAUCCUCCAUUCCUCACCCCCCUCCCGCUCUCUUCACCACGAUAGGUGGUCUCAUGCCCCCCCCCAGAGAAAUUUCCUAGCUACGCCCCUGCCCGCGACCGAUAAGAAUACAUGCAUAACAGGGCUCACAUCAUAAUGUACAUAGUUCCGUUUGACAGAAUUACGUCCAAUUACUCAUCGUAUCUGCGGAUACCUCUUGAAAAAUGACCAGGUUCUCCACAGAUAUUAAGGAUCGAACAAUGUUGUUUGAUUGUGAUCCACAAUUUUUGCUUUUCGACAACGGCGCACAAUGGAACGGGCCAAUGGGAGACGUCGGAUACAAUCUGGAAACUUUGAAAGCUUAUAUUUUCGAAAAUAUGAAAAAAAAAAGUUUAAGAGUGGUUCCAUUGGUUUUUCGUGAACAUCUCUUUCAUAGCACUCCUUUAAAUUGAAUUUGUCAUGAGAUAAACAUCAAAACGUGACAUAAUUAUUAGCCAAAAAUUGCGUGUCCAUCCUCUUCUGUUAGCUCGUUCCACGAGCACUAUAUGGAUCGAGUCAAUAUGAGAGGUCGGACAAAAUUCGGAAACUUAUAUCGACGGUGAAACUACCAAACCACGUAUCUCGUUUGCGGUGUUUAAAAAUCUACGCUCACAUUUUAUUUUUUGAAAUAGACCAAAUCAAUACCAUUUCUUGAAAUUUUCACAGAAUUUUCUCCGCACGAAGAGGAAAAAUCACAGAAAUUUUCAAGACUGGACGUUAAGUAGUUUUUCAUUUAAAAAUAAAGUAUGACAGGAAGUCUGCGACGUCGCAAACCGAGAUACGUGGUUUGGUAGUUUCACCGUCGAUAUGCUUAUAACUCCGUUCACACAAAACUUUGAAGUUCUAAAAGUGGUUCCAUUAGUUUCUUUGAGAAAUUUCCUUCAAGUAGCACCCCUUAAAGUUUAAAAUGUGGCUAAAUAAACAUGAAAAUUUGCAGUUUUACGUAGUCAAAAAUUUCAUGUCCGACCUCUCUAAUUGACAGGAUUCACUGUGCGGCGUUGGUCUCGGAUUGAUGGUAAAACUACACGAACACGUAGCUCUAUUGUCAUCUAUCGAAACUGCGCAGAUCAAAAGUACACCAAAGUAUCCGAAGGGGAAUCACCCUGUACCCACGGAAUGCGUACUGAGAAAAAUAUUUCGUGUUCUUGUUUUACUUUCAGUGAAUAUAGGAGUGAAACACGAACCAACCCAAAUUUUGUGUUAAUCUCGGUAAAGUUUGCGUUCAGUUUAGAACAAGAAACAAUGGAAAAACCGAGAAACCCCAGUUUCAACCGAAGGUUUGGGUUACUUUGUGGUCCCUUCCCCUAGUAACCAAACUUAUGGGUUAUUUUUCCUCUCAGUGCAGCUGACAAAGGCUUGAUAAAUCGAUUUUCUCGAGGAGGUCCAGUCGGAAUUUUCCUAGUGAGCAGCUGUGCAACUUUCGAGCAGAGGAAGUAGGAAGUAAAUUUCCUUACUCUAGGUCACUUUAAUUGAAGCAUUUCGUGCAACGAGAGCGUCUAUGCCAUGCAACGCUGCUAAAAUUGUGCGACUCCGUUGCAAUCCUGAGUCAAUUCCAAUGACCACGCAAAAGUAUUCUUUCCCCCCAUUAUUCUUCGAAUUUUUAGUCAGCUCUCCUGAAAAAUUAUUUUGAAUGUACGAAAGUGUAAAGUAAAAUACAGUCUUAGCUGCACAAUCUUAGCAGCGUUGCAUGGGCAUAGACGGCAUCGUCAAAACAGAUACAUAAAAAUUGAAAGAUUUUGAAGUGCUCAUUUUUAAUCCUCCCCUUAUCAAUGCAACCAUGAAUCGCACCAGAGGGAGCGCGAGGUCAAAAGUUUGGCUAAAGUCGGACCGAUCUUCUCGGCCGCCAUCUUGGAUGACCCAGCGUCGCGCGUUCAAAUGGGUGCUCAGAAUACGCAACUUCGAACUCAUUUUUCGUGGUUUAAUAUUGCUAAAAAAAUUGGGGGAAAAUCCUAUAAACUAUGAGCACUCUCUCGUUUUCAAAAAUGCAUGAAGUGGAAAUCACUGAACAAGCUCAUUGCAUUAGUCGAUAUAAUGGAGACAUCAAGACAUCAUAUGUUUGAAAUAUAUAAUUGGUAGUAUGGAUACGAUUCAUACUUGACUCAUUGAAGGUUUCUAAAAGGACACCAACGUGUAAAAACAGGAAGUAGGCACUUGAGAUUCGUAUUAAAAAUGCCCAUCUCGCAGUUCACGCCUUCGAAAAGUAAAUGAAUAAAAAAUGUGGAAAAAGAAUAAAAAAAUUCGACCAAAGCUCUUUUAUGCUAUACUUUUAAGCAAGACUUGUUUUUUUUUCUUGAAAGGAAAUAAAAAAAAUUUAAAUAAU
Molecule: long non-coding RNA, 5273 nt
Filed under: Bemisia tabaci
Lineage: Eukaryota; Metazoa; Arthropoda; Insecta; Hemiptera; Aleyrodidae
Description: lncRNA ENSSSA1NGG002010
Source: RNAcentral